UAGUUAUGAUGAUAUCUUGGUAAUGCAGCAGAAUUCUGAUUGUGCUGUAGAGAAGCCAACCUUGGAGAACUGAGUAUGUA
Molecule: small nucleolar RNA, 80 nt
Organism: Jaculus jaculus (lesser Egyptian jerboa)
Lineage: Eukaryota; Metazoa; Chordata; Mammalia; Rodentia; Dipodidae
Source: Ensembl